AACUUUAACGACUCACACUUACCGACACAUUGGCUUGGGUGCCUGUUUUUUUUCAAGCGGGUUAGACAAUGGGGUGGUGGAGGCUUAAC
Molecule: small RNA, 89 nt
Filed under: marine eukaryotic metagenome
Description: t44 RNA
Rfam family: t44 RNA
About the family: This family consists of a number of bacterial RNA genes of between 135 and 170 bases in length. The t44 gene is found between the map and rpsB genes in all species in the full alignment apart from Shigella flexneri.
Source: RNAcentral